AGCUGGACUAAAUAAAAAGAUAUAUAUUUCCUGUUGAUGUGUCUACUUGCAGGUCAAACCAUGGAGUUCGGUUCAUUACAGUAAUAAAUUGUAUAUCUGGAAUUCAAAUGACCUUUUUCCUCUUCUAAGGUGUGAUAUUUCAGUAGGUCAAAUUCAGGCUAAUCAUCAUCAGUACUAAAAGUGGUCUCAUAAUUGAACGAGAGUGAUGACCAUAUAAUAGCAGGGUUAUCGUCCUUUAUGUAAUUUCUGUAUAAAAGCAUGGAUAGGUAUAAGGCGUGAGACGGACCAGCUGAAGACUGCUGUUUAGUGGUAUGGAAUAUACCUUGAGUUAGGUUCUGCCAUUAUGUAACUUUCAAAUAUCUUGAAAAGCAGGCUUUCUUGCACUAAAUGUCUGUUUCGUUAUUAUGACAUAGAAAGGCGAGAAUUCGUCUUUGAUCAUUCCUGUUAAAAAUGAUGUUUGCUAUACAGCAGGGGUGGCCAACCUGCCUCGCCCGAGGUCGACUGAUUGGUAGGUAAUAAGGUAAUGCGCAUAAACGAAUGGGUAUUGAAUAUGCAGAUAACUGCACACACGCAUACAAAAAUUGACCACUCGACUCUGUAUGCGCAUUCUUAAUAAAAUCGCCACAAAUUCGUGUUUCCCACGUUUCAUUGAAUUUGAUUAUGUAAUUGUAGCGGAGAAAAUAUUUCAUCGUUUAUUUAAUAAGAUUCAGGUCUAAAACCUGCCUAGUUUUCAAGUGUUUGGAUUUUCUCAAAAAACAUUGCCAAGUAUAAAUGUUACACGACUGCUUAACCUUCAGUAUAAAAUUUGCAAUUUUCUUAGAUCGCAUUCUAAUGCCACUGCUGCUGUUGCAAAUAAUAAAUAUCGGACUACUCUUGA
Styela clava is the source of this 877-nucleotide non-coding RNA. The record is from RefSeq and is a predicted model, not a curated record. NCBI's taxonomy places the organism in Eukaryota, Metazoa, Chordata, Ascidiacea, Stolidobranchia, Styelidae.